UUCCAGGCACCAGUUUCAUGAAGCCUUUGGAGGCCAAAGAACCUGCAUUGGUUUUGCUGUAGGUCACAUAGUCCUUGCUGAGGGUCGAACACAAGGACAAUCUACGACUCCAUCACACCACUGGGAGAAGCUCAGACACUUCCCACUGUUCCAGCAGGCCCUCCCAAAUGCACAUUGGUAAUACACUACAGAAGUACCACAGCAGGAGAGUGAGCACCGCCAGGAUGAGGAGGACAAAUAUGGACACGGGCAGGAUGCGGCUCCAUUUGCAUUUCUUUCUUCCUGCGAGGGUCAGACCAAAAAAAAAAAAAAAACGCUGAAUUGAGUCACUGUGCACACAACAGGUGCUGCGAGGAGUCAAGGUAAAACCAGUUAUGUUAAAAAAAUUAAAAAAAAAAAGACAGAUUUACAUACUGCAGUAUUACUCACACUAGGUCAAAUUUGAACAGUGCUUAGGUGUAAGAUGGGGAAGCACCAGAGAUAUGUUGCUGGGCAAAUAAAGCGGAACUUGUAACUACUUCCUUGUAUAGCGAAAGAAAACAAGGCACGAUUAAUCAUUUGUGAAUGGAAGAAAUUCAAGAGAACGGUGCUUGUUCUGCAAAAUUCCAAAGGAGGAUGUGGUUGAUGAUAUCCAGGGACUUAGGAGCACAGUCAGCAACCAAAAAAUGAACAAAAUAGUUUGUUGAAAUAGAUUUAGAUUCUGCAGCAUUUUAAUUAAAUAAAUCAAUCCUAUAAUGUAGAAAGUAAAUCCAGAUACCACUUUUCACUUCCAAAAUAAUACUGAUGUUGGAACCUUGAGUAUAUAAAACCAAUAUUGAUAUGAUAUCAGCUAAAUGACACAACAUACUUGUAUUAUUUUGUGGUGUGGAAUGUAAUUUUGUC
This is a long non-coding RNA of Nerophis ophidion (straightnose pipefish), 882 nucleotides long. RefSeq lists it as uncharacterized. Lineage: Eukaryota; Metazoa; Chordata; Actinopteri; Syngnathiformes; Syngnathidae. The record is from RefSeq and is a predicted model, not a curated record. The transcript has 3 exons.